GACGAACGCUGGCGGCGUGCUUAACACAUGCAAGUCGAGCGGUAAGGCCCUUUCGGGGGUACACGAGCGGCGAACGGGUGAGUAACACGUGGGUGACCUGCCCUUAGCUCUGGGAUAAGCCUGGGAAACUGGGUCUAAUACCGGAUAUGACCUCAUGACUCAUGUUGUGGGGUGGAAAGCCUUGUGCGGCUAGGGAUGGGCCCGCGGUCUAUCAGCUUGUUGGUGGGGUAAUUGCCUACCAAGGCGACGACGGGUAGCCGGCCUGAGAGGACGACCAGCCACACUGGGACUGAGACACGGCCCAGACUCCUACGGGAGGCAGCAGUGGGGAAUAUUGGACAAUGGGCGCAAGCCUGAUCCAGCGAUGCCGCGUGUGUGAAGAAGGCCUGCGGGUUGUAAAGCAC
RNAcentral lists this ribosomal RNA (404 nucleotides) under uncultured bacterium. RNAcentral describes it as "bacterial SSU rRNA". It matches the Rfam family "Bacterial small subunit ribosomal RNA", at positions 28 to 433 of the family's 1533-position model. The record is from RNAcentral.